Molecule: ribosomal RNA, 468 nt
Filed under: uncultured bacterium
Lineage: Bacteria
Description: partial 16S ribosomal RNA
Rfam family: Bacterial small subunit ribosomal RNA
Source: RNAcentral
GAUGAACGCUGGCGGCGUGCUUAACACAUGCAAGUCGAACGGCAAGGCCCAAGCUUGCUUGGGUACUCGAGUGCCGAACGGGUGCGUAACACGUGUGCGACCUGCCCUGCACUUCGGGAUAAGCCUAGGAAACUGGGCCUACUCCCGGAUAGGAUCACUCCUUGGGGGUUGUGCAGGAGAGCUUUUUCGCUGUGGGAUGUGCUCGCGGCGUAGCAGGUUGUGGGAGGGGUCAUGGCGUACCACGGCGUCGACGGGUAGCCGCCAUGAGAGAGUGUACGGACGCAUUGGAACCGAGAGACGGCCCGGAGUCGGGCAGGAGGGAGCAGUGGGGAAUAUUGGACAAUGCGCGAAAGCGUGAUGCAGCGAGGCCGCGGGGUGGAUAAGGGCCUUUGGGUGGUAAGCAAAUUACGCUAGGGACAACGCGUUGUUGUGACGGUACCUGGAGAAUAAGCACCGGCUAACUACGUG